AUGGCUUUGGUGCAAGAAGUUCUGAAGGAACUUGGUGGUGAGCUGAUCGAGAUCCUGCCGCCGGCAAGCCACCGCGAGCUCAAGGUAUUGGCUUGGCUUCGUGACCCAUUCUUUGUUGGCAAGGUGGUGAAAGUUGAGUUACCUGAGCCGAAGGUGAUAAACAAGCCACCCGAGUCCAUGGAUGAGUAUGAAGCAAUGCAAUUGGAAUUGGGUGACUACGGACCAUCAUCGCCGAGGAAGAAGAAAACGCUACUGUAUCCAGUUUUGUGUCGUAUGAAGGAGGUUGUCGAUCGUGCUCCUCUGCUCACUGAAGACUUGCCGGCUGAGUAG
This 330-nucleotide ribosomal RNA is filed under the name Triticum aestivum (bread wheat). Its description in RNAcentral is "partial small subunit ribosomal RNA". Lineage: Eukaryota; Viridiplantae; Streptophyta; Magnoliopsida; Poales; Poaceae. The record is from RNAcentral.